This 433-nucleotide ribosomal RNA is filed under the name uncultured bacterium. RNAcentral describes it as "partial 16S ribosomal RNA". It matches the Rfam family "Bacterial small subunit ribosomal RNA", at positions 29 to 507 of the family's 1533-position model. The record is from RNAcentral.
AACGAACGCUGGCGGCAUGCCUAACACAUGCAAGUCGAACGAGACCUUCGGGUCUAGUGGCGCUCGGGUGCGUAACGCGUGGGAACCUGCCCUUAGGUUCGGAAUAACUCCCCGAAAGGGGUGCUAAUACCGGAUAAUGUCUUCGGACCAAAGAUUUAUCGCCUUUGGAUGGGCCCGCGUUGGAUUAGCUAGUUGGCAGGGUAAAAGCCUACCAAGGCGACGAUCCAUAGCUGGUCUGAGAGGAUGAUCAGCCACACUGGGACUGAGACACGGCCCAGACUCCUACGGGAGGCAGCAGUGGGGAAUAUUGGACAAUGGGCGAAAGCCUGAUCCAGCAAUGCCGCGUGAGUGAUGAAGGCCUUAGGGUUGUAAAGCUCUUUUACCCGGGAUGAUAAUGACAGUACCGGGAGAAUAAGCUCCGGCUAACUCCGUG